ACCUGCAUGGAGUAGUGGUAACUCGCCGGUGUCCGACACUCUACAGUCAGAUAGCCGGAAACCUGGGUUCGAUCCCCAGUGUAGGUU
Hypoxylon trugodes is the source of this 87-nucleotide non-coding RNA. Lineage: Eukaryota; Fungi; Ascomycota; Sordariomycetes; Xylariales; Hypoxylaceae. The record is from the annotation of a RefSeq genome assembly.